RNAcentral lists this ribosomal RNA (598 nucleotides) under Haemophilus influenzae. RNAcentral's name for it is "bacterial SSU rRNA". It matches the Rfam family "Bacterial small subunit ribosomal RNA", at positions 88 to 682 of the family's 1533-position model. The record is from RNAcentral. Lineage: Bacteria; Pseudomonadati; Pseudomonadota; Gammaproteobacteria; Pasteurellales; Pasteurellaceae.
CUGACGAGUGGCGGACGGGUGAGUAAUGCUUGGGAAUCUGGCUUAUGGAGGGGGAUAACGACGGGAAACUGUCGCUAAUACCGCGUAUUAUCGGAAGAUGAAAGUGCGGGACUGAGAGGCCGCAUGCCAUAGGAUGAGCCCAAGUGGGAUUAGGUAGUUGGUGGGGUAAAUGCCUACCAAGCCUGCGAUCUCUAGCUGGUCUGAGAGGAUGACCAGCCACACUGGAACUGAGACACGGUCCAGACUCCUACGGGAGGCAGCAGUGGGGAAUAUUGCGCAAUGGGGGGAACCCUGACGCAGCCAUGCCGCGUGAAUGAAGAAGGCCUUCGGGUUGUAAAGUUCUUUCGGUAUUGAGGAAGGUUGAUGUGUUAAUAGCACAUCAAAUUGACGUUAAAUACAGAAGAAGCACCGGCUAACUCCGUGCCAGCAGCCGCGGUAAUACGGAGGGUGCGAGCGUUAAUCGGAAUAACUGGGCGUAAAGGGCACGCAGGCGGUUAUUUAAGUGAGGUGUGAAAGCCCUGGGCUUAACCUAGGAAUUGCAUUUCAGACUGGGUAACUAGAGUACUUUAGGGAGGGGUAGAAUUCCACGUGUAGCGGU